RNAcentral lists this non-coding RNA (411 nucleotides) under Cronobacter sakazakii. The record is from RNAcentral. Lineage: Bacteria; Pseudomonadati; Pseudomonadota; Gammaproteobacteria; Enterobacterales; Enterobacteriaceae.
AUGUAGCGUACUGUUCAGCGGCUUCACAAACAGCGCGUUAUUGCGCAGCCAGACGUCGCCCUUCGCGGUCGUCAUAGUGCCAUCCAGCGGAAUGUCGAGAUGUAAGCGAGCAUUCACAUCGCCGUCGAGCUGGAGCUCGUCCAGCGUCGUGCCCAGAGAAUCUGCAAGCGGCGUCUCUUUAAAGUAAGGCCCGACCGCUUUACCCGGCCCGGCGAUAUCGGCAUCGAUAAAUAGUUUUUCCUGCGAGUAGUCCGGGAUAACGGCCGUCAGGUUUUUACCCGUGACGCCGCCAAGCAUGACCUGCGGCGCCGCCAUCCACAGCCCGUCAUUGCGAAAAUCGAGAUUAAUAGCGAAAUCUUUCAGCGCAGGCCAGUCCGGCUGGAACGCGUAGGUGGCGUUGUGCAGCGGCAC